GACGAACGCUGGCGGCGUGCUUAACACAUGCAAGUCGAACGGAAAGGCCCUGCUUUUGUGGGGUGCUCGAGUGGCGAACGGGUGAGUAACACGUGAGUAACCUGCCCUUGACUUUGGGAUAACUUCAGGAAACUGGGGCUAAUACCGGAUAGGAGCUCCUGCUGCAUGGUGGGGGUUGGAAAGUUUCGGCGGUUGGGGAUGGACUCGCGGCUUAUCAGCUUGUUGGUGGGGUAGUGGCUUACCAAGGCUUUGACGGGUAGCCGGCCUGAGAGGGUGACCGGCCACAUUGGGACUGAGAUACGGCCCAGACUCCUACGGGAGGCAGCAGUGGGGAACAUUGCACAAUGGGCGGAAGCCUGAUGCAGCAACGCCGCGUGCGGGAUGACGGCCUUCGGGUUGUAAACCGCUUUCGCCUGUGACGAAGCGUGAGUGACGGUAAUGGGUAAAGAAGCACCGGCUAACUACGUG
This 468-nucleotide ribosomal RNA is filed under the name uncultured bacterium. Its description in RNAcentral is "partial 16S ribosomal RNA". It matches the Rfam family "Bacterial small subunit ribosomal RNA", at positions 28 to 507 of the family's 1533-position model. The record is from RNAcentral.